Molecule: ribosomal RNA, 492 nt
Filed under: uncultured bacterium
Lineage: Bacteria
Description: partial 16S ribosomal RNA
Rfam family: Bacterial small subunit ribosomal RNA
Source: RNAcentral
AGUGAACGCUGGCGGUAUGCCUAACACAUGCAAGUCGAACGGCAGCACAGUAAGAGCUCGCCCUUACGGGUGGCGAGUGGCGGACGGGUGAGGAAUACAUCGGCAUCUACUUUUUCGUGGGGGAUAACGUAGGGAAACUUACGCUAAUACCGCAUACGACCUACGGGUGAAAGCAAGGGAUCUUCGGACCUUUCGCGAUUGAAUGAGCCGAUGUCGGAUUAGCUAGUUGGCGGGGUAAAGGCCCACCAAGGCCACGAUCCGUAGCUGGUCUGAGAGGAUGAUCAGCCACACUGGAACUGAGACACGGUCCAGACUCCUACGGGAGGCAGCAGUGGGGAAUAUUCGACAAUGGGCGAAAGCCUGAUCGAGCAACACCGCGUGGGUGAAGAAGGCCUUCGGGUUGUAAAGCCCUUUUGUUAGGGAAGAAAAGCAGCAGGUUAAUCCCCCGAUGUUCUGACGGUACCUAAAGAAUAAGCACCGGCUAACUUCGUG